AUAAAUGGCUCUGAUGGCAGUAUCUUUGCAUUGCACCAUGGGAUGUCAUUUUCAAAUAAUGCCCGUCAACAUUGCAUUUUAUUAUUAUUGUUAUGUGUUUAUAUGAACAUAAAAAAAUGCGUUGGUCUCGAGAACUCGGUCUGAAUUUACGAGUCCUCCUCCUUCCACUGUGGUCCGAGACCGAAGCCGUUUCUCAAUACCAAGUACGCCAAACUCGGACUUGUGUCCUUCGUAGUUCGAACUUGCAAGUUCAGACUCGGAAGAACGAACUUCUGACAUGAAAUGCAUUCUGGGAAACUUCGCUGUCAUAAGUCCACACAAGUCUCCUCUGAUGCAUCCUCGAUAAAAUGGGCGGAUCAAGAACACAUCCGGGGAUUUUAUGUGAACUUGGGCUUGAUGCGAACUUUGAAUUGGAACAGUACUUGGGCCGCGACUGAUGACGUUUCACAAGUCCACAAGAACGCAAGUACAGACAAGAACGCAUAUUGAGAAACGGCUUAGAUCUAAUUUAACACAUGAUUCAGACGGGUCCUGACACUAAAUACAUGUCUGACUGUUGAAACGAACCAAAGGAAAACCAAGAACAUCGCGUCCAUAACGAUUUAUGGUGAUUUUUUUUCUGUUACACCAUUGCCUACAUUGACGCUGAUGCGGGGUUCCCCUGUUUCAAGAUGGCCGCUCUAGUUGACGCAUUCGGCUCAAUGAACUGACGUAGCCAAGGCGACAUCUACUGUACGUAUCUAUGACAUUCCCCCAUCCCCCACAAGUGGUGCGUAGUUCAACAAAUUAUUGUAUUUAAAUAUUUGUUGUGCCUGCACAGGUACUGCUGUCUUUCGAGAGAUGCACAGUGUGCUGGAAAAAAAAUCACUGUGCCUACUGUAAAUAAUCUGUAAAUGACCUAUUUUAAUUAUACUCUGUAUUAAAAACAUCAUGUUUGUUGAACCUU
Non-coding RNA from Misgurnus anguillicaudatus (oriental weatherfish), 946 nucleotides. The record is from RefSeq and is a predicted model, not a curated record. NCBI's taxonomy places the organism in Eukaryota, Metazoa, Chordata, Actinopteri, Cypriniformes, Cobitidae.